This 483-nucleotide ribosomal RNA is filed under the name uncultured bacterium. RNAcentral's name for it is "partial 16S ribosomal RNA". It matches the Rfam family "Bacterial small subunit ribosomal RNA", at positions 28 to 507 of the family's 1533-position model. The record is from RNAcentral.
GACGAACGCUGGCGGCGUGCUUAACACAUGCAAGUCGAACGCUGAAGCUCAGCUUUUGUUGGGUGGAUGAGUGGCGAACGGGUGAGUAACACGUGAGUAACCUGCCCCCUUCUUUGGGAUAACGCCCGGAAACGGGUGCUAAUACUGGAUAUUCACUGGUCUUCGCAUGGGGGUUGGUGGAAAGGGUUUUUCUGGUGGGGGAUGGGCUCGCGGCCUAUCAGCUUGUUGGUGGGGUGAUGGCCUACCAAGGCUUUGACGGGUAGCCGGCCUGAGAGGGUGACCGGUCACAUUGGGACUGAGAUACGGCCCAGACUCCUACGGGAGGCAGCAGUGGGGAAUAUUGCACAAUGGGCGCAAGCCUGAUGCAGCGACGCCGCGUGAGGGAUGGAGGCCUUCGGGUUGUGAACCUCUUUCGCUCAUGGUCAAGCCACAACAAUGGUUGUGGUGAGGGUAGUGGGUAAAGAAGCGCCGGCUAACUACGUG